Scleropages formosus (Asian bonytongue) is the source of this 6095-nucleotide RNA transcript. It is a transcript of the gene named immunoglobulin superfamily, member 9Ba, with no coding region annotated. The record is from RefSeq and is a predicted model, not a curated record. The transcript has 21 exons. NCBI's taxonomy places the organism in Eukaryota, Metazoa, Chordata, Actinopteri, Osteoglossiformes, Osteoglossidae.
GCCGCAGUCGGGAGGGGGUCGCUGGUGGUCGUCUGUCCUGUCCCUCCCGGUGAGGGAUGCGGGAGGAAAGACGAGACUGGGAAGCAUGAAGCAAAGAGCCGAGCGAGCACAGAAAAGGGCGAGAACAGAGCGGUGUCCUCGGCGUCCGUGCUGCGACCGACGCUCCUGUAAAAGGGACACUUUGAGAUGCGCGUGUUCCUGCGGGCCGGCAUUAGUGCUGUACUAUGAUUUGGUAUGUGGCCGCUCUCAUAGCCAGUGUGCUGAGCGCGCGGGGAGCGGCGGCCCAAGGAGCCCGCAGAGCGAGAGAGGAGCCCCAGUUUGUGACGGCACGUGCCGGUGAGGCCGUCGUUCUAGGAUGUGAAGUGUCCCACCCCCCGACUGGCUCGCAGCUCGCCUACGUGGUGGAAUGGUUCCGGUCUGGUAUGUCCAUGCCAUUCUUCAUCAGCUUCCGUUUCUACCCACCCCACGUGGACCCCGAGUAUGCUGGUAGAGCCAUGCUCCAUGGAGUCGCCUCUUUGAGGAUUGAGCAGCUGCGCUCUGAGGACCAGGGCUGGUAUGAGUGCAGGCUCCUCAUGCUGGAGCAGCAGUAUGAUGCCUUUUACAAUGGCAGCUGGGUGCAUCUCACAGUCACUGCCCCUCCCACUUUCACAGACACGCCCCCUCAAUACGUGGAAGCGAGAGAAGGGGGCAGCAUCACUCUGAGCUGUACUGCAUUGGGGAACCCCAAGCCUGUGGUGAGCUGGCUGCGAGAGGGGGAGACAUUGGGCGACAGUGAGAAAUACAAGGUAAGCGACGGGCGCCUGACGGUUGUGUCUGUCCUCCGGGAGGAUGGGGGGGUCUACAUGUGCCGUGCCCACAGUCCCCAGGGAGAAGUUGUCCACACCACCCGCCUGCUUGUUCAAGGAUCUCCACAUAUUGUGAAACCACCCCUGAACAUAACUGUCAACAUAUCCCAGAAUGCUUUCUUCAGCUGCCAAGCAGAGGCAUAUCCUGGCAACUUAACCUACAUCUGGUUUUGGGAGGAAGAUAAUGUCUACUUCAAGAAUGAUCUAAAGUUGCGAGUCCGAAUUUUAAUUGAUGGAACCCUGAUCAUCUUCCGAGUAAAACCAGAGGAUGCUGGGAAAUACACCUGCAGCCCGAGCAACAGUCUUGGGCUGUCACCCACUGCCUCUGCAUACCUAGUGGUCCAGUAUCCAGCUCGGGUCGUGAACAUGCCUCCUGUUAUGUACAUCCCCAAAAAAAUGACAGGUUACAUCCGCUGCCCUGUGGAUGCCAACCCACCGGUGACAUGGGUCAAGUGGGAGAAGAAUGGCCUUCCUCUGAGGCUGGAGAAGCACCCAGGGUGGAGCCUAAUGAAGGAUGGGAGCAUCCGUGUGACAGAGGUUACAGAAGACUCUCUUGGCACCUAUACCUGUAUGCCUUACAACCUCAUGGGAACCUCUGGAAAGUCACCCCCAUCUACCCUGGUGCUAAAGGAUCCUCCCUACUUCAGCGUGAGACCUGGAGCUGAAUACCGGCAGGACGCUGGAAAACAACUGCUCAUUCCUUGUGCUGCUUCUGGGGAGCCAGAGCCUCCAACCAUUACCUGGAGAAAGGUAGGAAAGCCUAGCCGAAGCAAACACAUCGUCCUUCCAAGCGGCAGCCUGCAGAUCCCCUCCCUCAGCAAAGACGACCAUGGGGAGUGGGAGUGUGUGGCCACAAAUGUCGUCACCAGCAUUACUGCCAGCACCCGCCUCCUGGUGGUCGGCACAAGCCCACAUGCUCCAGUCAACCUCCGUGUAUCGGCCUCCUCGACCUCGGCCAAUGUCUCAUGGGAUCCGGGAUAUGAUGGUGGAUUUGAGCAGACAUUCUCAGUCUGGUACGGCCCUGUGGUGAAGAAGGCACGGUUGGGGCCCCACGACUGGCUGUCCAUGCCAGCCGGCUCUCAAACCUGGCUGCUGCUUCAGGGUCUGGAGUCCCAGACCCCCUACCAGUUCAGCGUAUUGGCCCAAAAUAAGUUGGGCACAGGGCCCUUCAGCGAGGUUGUCUCCAUCAGCACUCUUGCCUACCCCAGGAGUACCCCAGAACCAGCGGUGCUGCUUACCCCACCGAGGUGCCUCACAGCCAACCGGACACAGCAGGGUGUCCUCCUGUCAUGGCUCCCUCCAGCCAAUCACACAUCAGAGAUUGACCGUUACAUCAUAGAGCUCCGCGUUGGGGAGCGGUGGGACAUCCUGGAUGAUGCAAUCCCCCCUGGAGUGACAGAGCUUUUGGCAAAAGACCUUAUUCAGGAGUCGUGGUACGAAUUCCGAGUCACAGCCGUCAUGGACGACCUCAUCAGUGAAAGCAGUAAUGUAGUGGGAGUUUCAAGUACAGAUAUAGUCUUUCCUCCAGAGGUAGCAGAAGAGGGGGUUGCUCGUCCACUAGUGGCAGGUGUAGUGGCCACUAUCUGCUUCCUGACCACAGCCGUCCUCUUUAGCACUCUGGCGGCCUUCUUUGUCAAUAAGCAGCGGCGCCGAAAGCUGAAGCGGAAACCAGAUCCCCCUCUGUCUGUGACACACUGCAGGAAAAGUGUAGAGACUCCGACGGCACAGACUGAGAAUCAGUGGUUGAAAAGCGACGCAUUAACGCAGUACAGCUCUUCCUCCGGGAAGGAGAGUCCUGAGAGCACGCGAUCCCUCGGCGCCCCCUCCGAGUCAUCUGAAGAUGGGGCUGCCCCCCAUGUGGAGCGGGAGCUGUCCCUCUACAGGAAGACCAAGCGGGCUAUGGCCGGGAGGAAGCCCAGUGUCUCCAAGCAGGAAUCGGAGGCUACUCCGCCCAUUGAGCUGAUUAGCCGUGGCCCUGAUGGACGUUUUAUUAUGGAACCUCCUGUCCAGCAAGGCCGCAUUCAGGGCUUUCCCUUUGUCGAGGAGUCAGAUCUGUAUCCCGAGUUCUGCCAGUCUGAUGAGGAGAACGAGGACCUAUGUGUCAUGCCCCCUGUAAUGGCUAUUAUCAGACCCCAGAUCUCCCCUGUGUCGUCUAACCAGGAGUCUUAUCUACAGCCUCCUCCUUGCAGCCCCUGUCUCCACAGCCCCAUGGCAGAACUGACCGUCAUGGACAGCCCUGGGCAGAUCGAUCCUGGUCCACGCGCCACAGCCACGCCCCAGGGCUCGUUCUACAGCUUUGCUAGUGGCCCUAGUGGGCUUCUGUCUCCCUUUUACAUGCCUGAGGGCAGUCCAAACAGCUCAGUGAUGUCCUCACCCCCAUUAUUGCACAGAGAUUUUUUUAUUCAGCCUGCUGUUCCAGAGGAAGAUUUGGAGGGUGACGUCCAGCACUUUGGCACCUCUUGCAGUCCCUUGAUCUCAUGUACCAGCUUUGAAGGACCUCAGUUUGUUUUCCCACCUCAGCAUCCUUUUCAUCUUCACCAGGAUGCCCCAGACCAUGCCCCAUCACUCCCCCACAUUCUUCCACAAAGGAGUCUCCAGCCAUCCUUCCUCCAGGUGCCUUCGUUCCCUGGGUCUGUGAUGCUGGCGCCUCCACUGGGUCCUCCUGCACCAUCCUCCAGCAUGGUUCCGCUCCAGGGUCCCCUGCCUCCCUGCUCAGCCAUUCAGGAUCCCCAGGGUCCGGGGCAGCUAAGACAUACCAGUCAAGGAAUGGGUGUGUUGGUUCUGCCUUAUCCUCCCCCACUGCUGUCUGGGCCGGAUUCUGGCUGGUGGUUUGAACCUCAGCCCCAGCUCAGCCCUAGGGAAACGCGCCACGUGGAUGUUAGUUUGGGUCAGGUAGUCCUUCAGCCUUCACGGCUGUCCCCGUUGACACAGAGCCCCCCCGAAUCUCUCGGGAGCUCACAAGAGAGUAUAGUAAGGCCCCGGCCUCGACCAGGUGUGACCCACGCCUCUGUACGUUCAGAACUGGGAGCUGUUACCCUAUUGCCUCCUCGGGGGGGCUCUCCCACACCUCAGCAGGCCAGUUCAGCAUACCAUGCCCUUAUGGCCUUGGCCACCACUGCAUCAAGCUACCCGCCCGAGUCCCCACCACCCUCGAAGGAAGGCAGUGAUGGUUUUGGACAGAUUUCAACCCAUAGAAGUACCGAUGAAGAAGUGCCACCAUCUGAACCGUCUCUGCAUCAGUUCUCAGCUUCAGGCCACAGCGGAAGGACAACAGACAUCUAGGGCCACUAUUUAAUUCCCGCCGAGACUCAGCUCAUGGGGCUCAACUUACGUGCCCCACGCAGCGUUUUCACAUGCACACCGGAAGCCUGCAGAUUCAAUUUAAUAAAUGGCAAAAACAUACUCAUUAAAAAAAAUCACUCAUUUUCUGUCAGCACUUGCAAGUAUUGUUUUUUUUUUUUUUCAAUGACAUAAAAUGGACUGAAAACAUGACACAACCGGGGCUUUCCUUCUGAGGUGUUCUCUUCUCAGACCCAGCAGCGUUAUGCCUCUCAGGUACUCCACUGCAAAAAACUCUCUACCUCUGCAAAAUGAAGAGAUGGUGAGCAAGGGAGGCAUGGUACAUCUGCUUCUCCACAGCUCUGGGACAACAAAAGGAGACUUACCAGUGGAGAGUAUAGCUGACCCUGACUAUGGCGCUGUCCAGUCGAACCAACCCAUCAACAUGGUGCCAUCCUCUCAAAACACCCAUUCAAGAUAGCCGCUUGCACCGCGGUAAACCCAACAGCAUUGUUCCCCUUCAGGAGCACUAACCUACCAACACGGUGCCCUGCACCUGGACAACCCCACCAACAUGUGGCAUUUCACCAGGACUAACCCACCACCACUGUACCCUCAGCUGGCACCACACCGCCAACAAGGCACCUUCCACCUUGGCCAGCGGACAAACAUUGAUCGCUCCUUCCUGAAACACCAGCCUGACCCAUAAAAGGGGAAGUCAAAGCACAACAAAUACACCGUGCAUCUCUUUCAACAACAGGGCUCUUUCUUUGUUCCGAAAGAAAACGAGAGAUUAAGUUACACUAGUUUUAUUUGUGUAUAAGCUUAAAAAUAGAACUUCAUUCCCUACUACUUGCCAAACUAUUGGAUUUUUAUUGUUUAUUUCACAUUUUCCUGUUGAAAAUGUUCCAAUCCGAGCAAAGCACUGGAGCAGAUCUUGGAUUUUCAGUGCACGUAUCAUAAAGCAUCAGUGAAGUAUAACUGGUUCCUAGCUGUCUCACUCAAGUUUAAUUUAGAGACCUUAGAACCUGCUAUGUUCUGUACGGUGGUACUAAUUCUGGGCUGUUGCUCACGAGUAAAACAGCACAUAUGUUGAAGGGUGAGAAGGUGCUGCAUCGGGAGUACAGUACACUGUGAUAUCCAUCCAUGCUGGAGAACCUUUGGAGGGUGUGUGGGGGGGCUAAUAUUUACAAGAUCAAACAGAUUGAAAGCUUGCUGCAUGCUUAUCUUUAUUUUCUCUUUGUGUGGAAAACUAAAGGAACUGUUUGUAUACAAUCCUAUAAGGGGAUGACAAUACUCUGGAUUCUAUCACUAUAGCGGUCAUAGAAUACAAAGUUUCAUGUAUUCACAUACAGCUCAGCUGAACAAAUGUACAUGAAAGAGUUCAGUUUCACUCAGAAAAGGCAAAAAUAAGCUUUACCAGAUAUGCUGGUAUUGAUAUUUUCAACUAAAACAAAAGGAUCUUACUUCAUCAGAAGGGGCCAGCGCUUCAGUGUAAUACUGGAUGAGGGAAGAUUGCAUCACUGAGUUCAACAGGGUGUAGAAUCCUGUCUUGGGUGUAGCCCCUCCUCCACCUGCGAGGUGAAACUCACCUGUUUGUGUAGACUGAUGGGUGUUGAUAUUGGUGCAGGUGGCACUUUUACAUGUAAAAUGUGUGAUCUGUGGAUUAUAACUUGGUGCUAUGUCUUUGUAAGAUCCUGACCCCAGACCCAGAAUUUAAAGACAUUGAGAAAACUCACAAGAUCCUAAUGAUGAUAAAAGAAAAUGAAAAUGACAUUAUGCUCUUCCAAGUCUAAUUCUCACUGUUUAAAUAACAACACUUCUCAAAUGCUGAAAUGACAACAGUAAUAUCUUUUGAAAGCUUUUGUAUAUUAUCUUUUGAAAAAUUUUGUUUACACACAAAUAGCAUCAAGUCACCCCAAUCUGGUGGCCAUAUGUCAUGCAGUUUUGCACAACAUGUAAAAGUCAUUG